ACGUAGGGGGCAAGCGUUGAUCGGAAUCACUGGGCUUACAGCGCGUGUAGGCGGUGCGGCAAGUCUUCUGUGAAAGCCCCCGGCUCAACCGGGGAAUUGCAGGGGAAACCGGCGGGCUUGAGGACGGUAGAGGGGACCGGAACUUGCUGUGUAGCGGUGAAAUGCGUAGAUAUAGGACGGAACGUCAGUGGUGAAGGCGGCUCCCUGGGCCUAUACUGACGCUGAGGUGCGAAAGCGUGGGGAGCAAACAG
This 251-nucleotide ribosomal RNA is filed under the name uncultured prokaryote. RNAcentral's name for it is "partial 16S ribosomal RNA". It matches the Rfam family "Bacterial small subunit ribosomal RNA", at positions 525 to 775 of the family's 1533-position model. The record is from RNAcentral.